GUGCUUGCACUCAAUUGGAAAGAGGAGUGGCGGACGGGUGAGUAACACGUGGGUAACCUACCCAUCAGAGGGGGAUAACACUUGGAAACAGGUGCUAAUACCGCAUAACAGUUUAUGCCGCAUGGCAUAAGAGUAAAAGGCGCUUUCGGGUGUCGCUGAUGGAUGGACCCGCGGUGCAUUAGCUAGUUGGUGAGGUAACGGCUCACCAAGGCCACGAUGCAUAGCCGACCUGAGAGGGUGAUCGGCCACACUGGGACUGAGACACGGCCCAGACUCCUACGGGAGGCAGCAGUAGGGAAUCUUCGGCAAUGGACGAAAGUCUGACCGAGCAACGCCGCGUGAGUGAAGAAGGUUUUCGGAUCGUAAAACUCUGUUGUUAGAGAAGAACAAGGACGUUAGUAACUGAACGUCCCCUGACGGUAUCUAACCAGAAAGUCACGGCUAACUACGUGCCAGCAGCCGCGGUAAUACGUAGGUGGCAAGCGUUGUCCGGAUUUAUUGGGCGUAAAGCGAGCGCAGGCGGUUUCUUAAGUCUGAUGUGAAAGCCCCCGGCUCAACCGGGGAGGGUCAUUGGAAACUGGGAGACUUGAGUGCAGAAGAGGAGAGUGGAAUUCCAUGUGUAGCGGUGAAAUGCGUAGAUAUAUGGAGGAACACCAGUGGCGAAGGCGG
Molecule: ribosomal RNA, 669 nt
Filed under: uncultured Bacilli bacterium
Lineage: Bacteria; Bacillati; Bacillota; Bacilli
Description: bacterial SSU rRNA
Rfam family: Bacterial small subunit ribosomal RNA
Source: RNAcentral